AACGAACGCUGGCGGCAUGCCUAACACAUGCAAGUCGAACGAUCCCUUCGGGGAUAGUGGCGCACGGGUGCGUAACGCGUGGGAACCUGCCCUUAGGUUCGGAAUAACUCAGAGAAAUUUGAGCUAAUACCGGAUAAUGUCUUCAGACCAAAGAUUUAUCGCCUUUGGAUGGGCCCGCGUUGGAUUAGCUAGUUGGUGGGGUAAAGGCCUACCAAGGCGACGAUCCAUAGCUGGUCUGAGAGGAUGAUCAGCCACACUGGGACUGAGACACGGCCCAGACUCCUACGGGAGGCAGCAGUGGGGAAUAUUGGACACUGGGCGAAAGCCUGAUCCAGCAAUGCCGCGUGAGUGAUGAAGGCCUUAGGGUUGUAAAGCUCUUUUACCCGGGAUGAUAAUGACAGUACCGGGAGAAUAAGCCCCGGCUAACUCCGUG
Molecule: ribosomal RNA, 433 nt
Filed under: uncultured bacterium
Lineage: Bacteria
Description: partial 16S ribosomal RNA
Rfam family: Bacterial small subunit ribosomal RNA
Source: RNAcentral